UGGGGAAUAUUGGACAAUGGGGGAAACCCUGAUCCAGCAAUGCCGCGUGAGUGAAGAAGGCCUUAGGGUUGUAAAGCUCUUUCGCCCGCGAAGAUAAUGACGGUAGCGGGAGAAGAAGCCCCGGCUAACUCCGUGCCAGCAGCCGCGGUAAUACGGAGGGGGCUAGCGUUGUUCGGAAUUACUGGGCGUAAAGCGUACGUAGGCGGAUGCGCAAGUUGGGGGUGAAAUCCCGGGGCUUAACCUCGGAAUUGCCCUCAAAACUGCACGUCUUGAGACCGAGAGAGGUCAGGGGGAUUCCUAGUGUAGAGGUGAAAUUCGUAGAUAUUAGGAAGAACACCAGUGGCGAAGGCGCCUUACUGGCUCGGUACUGACGCUGAGGUACGAAAGCGUGGGGAGCAAACA
Molecule: ribosomal RNA, 402 nt
Filed under: uncultured bacterium
Lineage: Bacteria
Description: bacterial SSU rRNA
Rfam family: Bacterial small subunit ribosomal RNA
Source: RNAcentral